GAUGAAGAACGCAGCGAAAUGCGAUAAGUAAUGUGAAUUGCAGAAUUCAGUGAAUCAUCGAAUCUUUGAACGCACAUUGCGCCCGCCAGUAUUCUGGCGGGCAUGCCUGUUCGAGCGUCAUUUCAACCCUCAGGGCCCUUUUGGACCUGGCGUUGGGGCUCGGCCGCUACCUUGCGGCCGUCCCCGAAAGAUAGUGGCGGUCUCGCUGUAGCCUCCUCUGCGUAGUAGUUACAUCUCGCACUGGAACGCGGCGCGGCCAUGCCGUUAAACACCCCACUUCUCAAGGUUGACCUCGGAUCAGGUAGGAAUACCCGCUGAACUUAAGCAUAUCAAUAAGCGGAGGA
RNAcentral lists this unclassified non-coding RNA (344 nucleotides) under soil metagenome. RNAcentral describes it as "partial contains 5.8S ribosomal RNA, internal transcribed spacer 2, and large subunit ribosomal RNA". The stretch from base 1 to 120 matches the Rfam family "5.8S ribosomal RNA", at positions 35 to 154 of the family's 154-position model. The record is from RNAcentral.